CAGUCGCCACGGUAAUGCGUAGGGUGCAAGCGUUAAUCGGAAUUACUGGGCGUAAAGCGUGCGCAGGCGGUUCGCUAAGACAGAUGUGAAAUCCCCGGGCUUAACCUGGGAACUGCAUUUGUGACUGGCGGGCUAGAGUAUGGCAGAGGGGGGUAGAAUUCCACGUGUAGCAGUGAAAUGCGUAGAGAUGUGGAGGAAUACCGAUGGCGAAGGCAGCCCCCUGGGCCAAUACUGACGCUCAUGCACGAAAGCGUGGGGAGCAAACAGGAUUAGAUACCCGGGUAGUCCCUGUCUCUUAUAC
This 301-nucleotide ribosomal RNA is filed under the name uncultured bacterium. RNAcentral's name for it is "partial 16S ribosomal RNA". It matches the Rfam family "Bacterial small subunit ribosomal RNA", at positions 509 to 807 of the family's 1533-position model. The record is from RNAcentral.